This 809-nucleotide small RNA is filed under the name Candidatus Phytoplasma cynodontis. RNAcentral describes it as "bacterial SSU rRNA". The stretch from base 1 to 504 matches the Rfam family "Bacterial small subunit ribosomal RNA", at positions 1035 to 1533 of the family's 1533-position model. Lineage: Bacteria; Bacillati; Mycoplasmatota; Mollicutes; Acholeplasmatales; Acholeplasmataceae. The record is from RNAcentral.
CAGGUGGUGCAUGGUUGUCGUCAGCUCGUGUCGUGAGAUGUUAGGUUAACUCCUAAAACGAGCGCAACCCUUGUCACUAGUUGCCAGCAUGUUAUGAUGGGCACUUUAGUGAGACUGCCAAUGAAAAAUUGGAGGAAGGUGAGGAUCACGUCAAAUCAUCAUGCCCCUUAUGAUCUGGGCUACAAACGUGAUACAAUGGCUGUUACAAAGAGUAGCUAAAACGCGAGUUUAUAGCCAAUCUCAUAAAAGCAGUCUCAGUUCGGAUUGAAGUCUGCAACUCGACUUCAUGAAGUUGGAAUCGCUAGUAAUCGCGAAUCAGCAUGUCGCGGUGAAUACGUUCUCGGGGUUUGUACACACCGCCCGUCAAACCACGAAAGUUGGUAAUACUCGAAAACGGUAGCCUAACUUCUUCGGAAGAGGGAACCGUCUAAGGUAGGAUCGAUGAUUGGGGUUAAGUCGUAACAAGGUAUCCCUACCGGAAGGUGGGGAUGGAUCACCUCCUUUCUAAGGAAAAGAAAAUUUUUUAAAUUUUCAUCUUCAGUUUUGAAAGACUUAGUUCUAAUAAGUAGUAAGUUUUUCUCUUUUAAGAAAAAGGAAGGGCCUAUAGCUCAGUUGGUUAGAGCACACGCCUGAUAAGCGUGAGGUCGAUGGUUCAAGUCCAUUUAGGCCCACCAACUGAUCAAUAAGGUCAUCUUUCUAAUUCUUAAAAAAAGUUCUUUGAAAAGUAGAUAAACAAAGUAAAAUAAUAGAAAUCAAAGGAAUUAAGGGCGUACAGUGGAUGCCUUGGCACUAAGAGCCGAUGAAGGACG